CUACGGGGAGGCAGCAGUAGGGAAUAUUCGGCAAUGGACGAAAGUCUGACCGAGCAACGCCGCGUGAGUGAAGAAGGUUUUCGGAUCGUAAAACUCUGUUGUUGGAGAAGAACAGGGAUGAGAGUAACUGUUCAUCCCUUGACGGUAUCUAACCAAGAAAGCCACGGCUAACUACGUGCCAGCAGCCGCGGUAAUACGUAGGUGGCAAGCGUUGUCCGGAUUUAUUGGGCGUAAAGCGAGCGCAGGCGGUUUCUUAAGUCUGAUGUGAAAUCCCCCGGCUCAACCGGGGAAGGGCAUUGGAAACUGGGAGACUUGAGUGCAGAAGAGGAGAGUGGAAUUCCAUGUGUAGCGGUGAAAUGCGUAGAUAUAUGGAGGAACACCGGUGGCGAAGGCGGCUCUCUGGACUGUAACUGACGCUGAGGCUCGAAAGCGUGGGGAGCAAACAGGAUUAGAUACCCUGGGUAGU
Molecule: ribosomal RNA, 466 nt
Filed under: Enterococcus hirae
Lineage: Bacteria; Bacillati; Bacillota; Bacilli; Lactobacillales; Enterococcaceae
Description: bacterial SSU rRNA
Rfam family: Bacterial small subunit ribosomal RNA
Source: RNAcentral